This 428-nucleotide ribosomal RNA is filed under the name uncultured bacterium. Its description in RNAcentral is "partial 16S ribosomal RNA". It matches the Rfam family "Bacterial small subunit ribosomal RNA", at positions 354 to 796 of the family's 1533-position model. The record is from RNAcentral.
GUGGGGAAUAUUGGGCAAUGGGCGCAAGCCUGACCCAGCAACGCCGCGUGAGGGAAGAAGGCUUUCGGGUUGUAAACCUCUGUCCUUGGUGACGAAACAAAUGACGGUAGCCAAGGAGGAAGCCCCGGCUAACUACGUGCCAGCAGCCGCGGUAAUACGUAGGGGGCGAGCGUUGUCCGGAAUUACUGGGCGUAAAGGGUGCGUAGGUGGCCUUUUAAGUUGGAUGUGAAAUACCCGGGCUUAACUUGGGGGGUGCAUCUAAUACUGGAGGGCUAGAGUGCAGGAGAGGAAAGCGGAAUUCCUAGUGUAGCGGUGAAAUGCGUAGAUAUUAGGAGGAACACCAGUGGCGAAGGCGGCUUUCUGGACUGUAACUGACACUGAGGCACGAAAGCGUGGGGAGCAAACAGGAUUAGAUACCCCGGUAGUCC